Molecule: ribosomal RNA, 506 nt
Filed under: uncultured bacterium
Lineage: Bacteria
Description: partial 16S ribosomal RNA
Rfam family: Bacterial small subunit ribosomal RNA
Source: RNAcentral
AGUGAGCGCUGGCGGUAGGCCUAACACAUGCAAGUCGAACGGCAGCACAGGAGAGCUUGCUCUCUGGGUGGCGAGUGGCGGACGGGUGAGGAAUACAUCGGAAUCUACUCUGUCGUGGGGGAUAACGUAGGGAAACUUACGCUAAUACCGCAUACGACCUACGGGUGAAAGCAGGGGACCUUCGGGCCUUGCGCGAUUGAAUGAGCCGAUGUCGGAUUAGCUAGUUGGCGGGGUAAAGGCCCACCAAGGCGACGAUCCGUAGCUGGUCUGGGAGGAUGAUCAGCCACACUGGAACUGAGACACGGUCCAGGCUCGUACGGGAGGCAGCAGUGGGGAAUAAUGGACAAUGGGCGCAAGCCUGAUCCAGCCAUACCGCGUGGGUGAAGAAGGCCUUCGGGUUGUAAAGCCCUUUUGUUGGGAAAGAAAUCCAGCUGGCUAAUACCCGGUUGGGAUGACGGUACCCAAAGAAUAAGCACCGGCUAACUUCGUGCCAGCAGCCGCAGUAA